AUGCGUUAACAAACAAGACUACCAUCCUUAAACUACAAGGACGUAAUUUUAAUCGGACUGGAAGGGCACCUCCUUAUGUUUAAGCGACGUGCCAACAGAGAGAAGGGUGUUAGUGAAUUGGAAGCUGUAACAAGAGGCAAGGGACCAAUCACCAGCCUAACAGUGGUUGAAGACUGUUGUCUAAUGAGAGCCUUGAAACUAGGGAGCAGUGCCUACAAGACAAUUUGACCUGGCUUCAACUUCUCUAGAAGAAAAUCAGUAAAAUACUAUUAUUAUACAGUGAUUUGAAACCAGGAUUUUAAAUACUUAGUGUUGGUUUCUUAAUGACAACAUGAUAACAGUGAAUUCCAUCCUCUUUGAUGUGAAGACAAAGUAUCCAUGACAACCAAGACAGCAUUGUAACCAUAGCAACUGUUGCCAAGGCAUCACCAUGACAUUCCAGUGGCAAAAGUUGUCCCCUUCCGAGUUUCAUCAACUCCAGGAGUAUUCUUCAUAUUCUUCCAAAAACCUCAAAGAUACCCUGAAAGAGUUUGAAGGUGACGGGAUCCUUUCCCAGUACAGCAAGGAUGAGGCAAGUGA
This is a long non-coding RNA of Lingula anatina, 579 nucleotides long. NCBI's taxonomy places the organism in Eukaryota, Metazoa, Brachiopoda, Lingulata, Lingulida, Lingulidae. The record is from RefSeq and is a predicted model, not a curated record.